AGAAACGCACACCAAAAAUUGUCUACCAUAGAAAGCAAAAGGGGAAAUUUCCUGUGACAUUGUGAGGUCAUCAUACUGGUGCACCCUUGGCCUUGUCAGUGGGUGAGGUCACAUCACUAAACUGUCUGAAGUAAGGUGUCAUGGACCAUCAUAAAAUUUGCAUCAACAUGGAGAUUUAAUUGGAGACCAUUGUUCUGUUCGAAGUGUAGUUUGUGGAAGAUGCAAUGAUGAAAUUAAUUUGAAUUGUCAAUGUUGUAUUUUAAGCAUAUAAGCGAUGUUCAGAUGAUGGUACUGUAGCACUGUUUAAAGUUUUUAAUAUUGUUGUUAUUUACAAUGGAAACUACUGUAACAGAAGAAAAUAAAGAGGGAAAAAUACAAAUUAUUUUCUCUAAUUACUUUUUGUGACAUAUAACAUACAUUUCAUGAACUACAUAUACAAUUAUCUGUGAGCCAUAAUCAAAAUCAAAAUGCUGUACAUCCCUUUCAAAAUUAUGGUCCAUCACAGUUCAUUUUUUCAAAUAACGGUCAACACAUGUUAUUUCAAUUUACAGUCAAACUGUUAAAUAAUGAUCAAAACAUGAUUUCAGUUUACAGUCAAAACAUGCUUUAUAAAGUAAUGUUGUCAACAUGUCAUUUAUAUCUACAUUCAAAUCAUGUUUAGUUAAACAACUGCUACACCAAGUUUUUAUAUUUACAGUUAAAACAUGUUUUAUUAAAUAAGGGUUUAAACAUGUUACGUGAACUUACAGUCAAAUAAUGCCAUUACAUUUAAUGGUCUAUGCAUGUAUUUGCAAUUAUACAGACAAAAUAUGUUAUUUCAGAUUACGUUUUAAACAUUUUAUAGUACUGUAUGGUCAAUGUUCUUUUUUCCUGUUGCUGUGUAAGCAUGUUACUUCAGUUCAUGGGGUUUUACCGUUAUUUUCAUUAAUGGCAAACGUUUGGCACCCUGUGCUGCCAUGCAUUUGCUCGUUUUUUUCCGUGUUUUUUUUUUAC
Long non-coding RNA from Carassius auratus (goldfish), 993 nucleotides. RefSeq lists it as uncharacterized. NCBI's taxonomy places the organism in Eukaryota, Metazoa, Chordata, Actinopteri, Cypriniformes, Cyprinidae. The record is from RefSeq and is a predicted model, not a curated record. The transcript has 3 exons.